UACGUAGGGGGCAAGCGUUAUCCGGAAUCACUGGGUGUAAAGGGUGCGUAGGCGGUUAUGCAAGUCAGAUGUGAAAUGUCGAGGCUCAACUUCGGAACUGCAUUUGAAACUGCGUGACUAGAGUACAGGAGAGGUAAGUGGAAUUCCUAGUGUAGCGGUGAAAUGCGUAGAUAUUAGGAAGAACACCAGUGGCGAAGGCGACUUACUGGACUGAAACUGACGCUGAGGCACGAAAGCGUGGGGAGCAAACAGG
RNAcentral lists this ribosomal RNA (253 nucleotides) under uncultured bacterium. Its description in RNAcentral is "partial 16S ribosomal RNA". It matches the Rfam family "Bacterial small subunit ribosomal RNA", at positions 524 to 776 of the family's 1533-position model. The record is from RNAcentral.